UGGGGAAUCUUGGACAAUGGGGGCGAACCCUGAUCCAGCCAUGCCGCGUGAGUGAUGAAGGCCUUAGGGUCGUAAAGCUCUUUCGCCUGUGAAGAUAAUGACGGUAGCAGGUAAAGAAACCCCGGCUAACUCCGUGCCAGCAGCCGCGGUAAUACGGAGGGGUUAGCGUUGUUCGGAAUUACUGGGCGUAAAGCGCACGUAGGCGGACUAGCAAGUUAGAGGUGAAAUCCCAGGGCUCAAGCCUUGGAACUGCCUUUAAAACUGCUAGUCUAGAGACCGGAAGAGGUUAGGGGAAUACCUAGUGUAGAGGUGAAAUUCGUAGAUAUUAGGUGGAACACCAGUGGCGAAGGCGCCUAACUGGUCCGGUACUGACGCUGAGGAACGAAAGCGUGGGGAG
RNAcentral lists this ribosomal RNA (397 nucleotides) under uncultured bacterium. RNAcentral describes it as "bacterial SSU rRNA". It matches the Rfam family "Bacterial small subunit ribosomal RNA", at positions 355 to 768 of the family's 1533-position model. The record is from RNAcentral.